RNAcentral lists this ribosomal RNA (253 nucleotides) under uncultured bacterium. RNAcentral describes it as "partial 16S ribosomal RNA". It matches the Rfam family "Bacterial small subunit ribosomal RNA", at positions 524 to 776 of the family's 1533-position model. The record is from RNAcentral.
UACAGAGGUGGCAAGCGUUGUUCGGAAUUACUGGGCGUAAAGGGCGCGUAGGCGGUUCGUCAAGUCCUGUGUGAAAUCCCCCGGCUCAACUGGGGAACUGCACAGGAAACUAGCGGGCUUGAGUUCGGGAGAGGGAAGCGGAAUUCCGGGUGUAGCGGUGAAAUGCGUAGAUAUCAGGAGGAACACCUGUGGUGUAGACAGCUUACUGGACCACUUCUGACGCUGAGACACGAAAGCGUGGGUAGCAAACAGG